This 587-nucleotide ribosomal RNA is filed under the name uncultured bacterium. RNAcentral describes it as "partial 16S ribosomal RNA". It matches the Rfam family "Bacterial small subunit ribosomal RNA", at positions 355 to 938 of the family's 1533-position model. The record is from RNAcentral.
UGGGGAAUUUUGGACAAUGGGCGAAAGCCUGAUCCAGCAAUGCCGCGUGUGUGAAGAAGGCCUUCGGGUUGUAAAGCACUUUUGUCCGGAAAGAAAUCCUUGGCUCUAAUACAGUCGGGGGAUGACGGUACCGGAAGAAUAAGCACUGGCUAACUACGUGCCAGCAGCCGCGGUAAUACGUAGGGUGCAAGCGUUAAUCGGAAUUACUGGGCGUAAAGCGUGCGCAGGCGGUUUGCUAAGACCGAUGUGAAAUCCCCGGGCUCAACCUGGGAACUGCAUUGGUGACUGGCAGGCUAGAGUAUGGCAGAGGGGGGUAGAAUUCCACGUGUAGCAGUGAAAUGCGUAGAGAUGUGGAGGAAUACCGAUGGCGAAGGCAGCCCCCUGGGCCAAUACUGACGCUCAUGCACGAAAGCGUGGGGAGCAAACAGGAUUAGAUACCCUGGUAGUCCACGCCCUAAACGAUGUCAACUAGUUGUUGGGGAUUCAUUUCCUUAGUAACGUAGCUAACGCGUGAAGUUGACCGCCUGGGGAGUACGGUCGCAAGAUUAAAACUCAAAAUGAAUUGACGGGGGUCAUAGCUGUUUCCU